UGGGGAAAAACACAUGAACUAGACUCUAGCAAGGCCUAACCAGCAACAAGACAUCGACUAGGACACAAACUCAACACUGCAGACUCUAAGACUGAAAUAUGCAAAGGCUAUGGCUUGAAAGGUUUGUAGGACAGGAAAACGAUAUGACACUGGACUUAUAGGACGAACACAAGAACACUCAAAACUAAGGAUAGAUGUGAAUCUAACGGUAUACCUAAAGCUUUGAUUACCACUUGAUGAGAACAAGGGUGGCCUGAUCUUCCGAAAGGUUCUAGUAACUCUCGAUUUGGUGGAGACGAGACACAAAUCGAUUUGGCUUUCGAACAACACGAUCCGAAACCCUGCAUUUUUUUAUUUUUUUUAUAUUUUUCUUUUACCUAGGAGCACUAAAAAGUAACCACAAAAAAUUUGUGCUUAAACAAGUGAAAGACGUGGCCUGCAGAAUUUUCUAAAGAUUGCGAAAAAUGUGAAAAAAACUUCAUGAGGAGAAAACUCAAACUUUGGAGGCAAAUUUCAAGAUAAAAUUAUCAAACCCGCUAAAGUCACAGACAGACAGAUCUGAAAUUUUUUUAUGAUCGAAUUUGAUAUAGGUAACGUUGAAAUCAGAGUUUGUAUGUGAAAGUUAUGGUUUGUUUACAAAUGCACUUCGAAAUACAGGAAAAAACGGUCCAGAAGUGGGAAAAAUUUGCGGCGCUGGCUAGAAAUUGAUGGAAACGGUGGGGAAAACACACGAACUGGACUCUAACAAGACCUAACCAGCAACAAGACCUCGACCAGGACACAAACUCAACACUGCGGACUCUGAAACUGAAAUAUGCAAAGGUUAUGGCGCGGAAGGGAUGUAGGACAGGAAAACGAUAUGGCACUGGACUUAUGGGACGAACACAAGAACACUCAAAACUAAGGGUAGACAUGAACCUAACGGUAUACCUGAAGCUUUGAUUACCACUUGAUGAGAACAAGGGUGGCCCGAUCUUUCGAAAGGUUCUGGUAACUCUUGAUUUAGUGGAGACGAGACACAAAUCGAUCCGGCUUCGGAACAACACGAUCCGAAACCCUGCAAUUUUUUUUAUUUUUUUGAUAUUUUAUUUUACUUAGGAGCACUAAAGAAGUAACCACAAAAAAUUUGAGCUUAAACAAGUGAAACACAUGGCCUGCGGAAUUUUCUGAAGAUUGCGAAAAAUAUGAAAAAAACUUCACGAGGUUAAAACUCAAACUUCGGAGGCGAAUUUGGAGAUUCUAAAAUUUUCAAGCCCGCUAGUACUAGGGACAGGCAGAUCCAAAAAUUUUUCUGAUCGAUUUUGAUAUAUAGAACGUUGAAUUCAGAGUUCGUAUGCGAAAGUUGUAGCUGUUUUAUGAACAGACUCCAAAUUAGAGGACAAAAUGGUCCGAAAGUGGGAAAAAUUUGUGGCGGUGGCUAGAAAUUGAUAGAAACGGUGGGAAAAACACACGAACUGGACUCUAACAAGACCUAACCAGCAACAAGACCUCAACUAGGACACAAACUCAACACCGCGGACUCUAAAACUGAAAUAUGCAAAGGCUAUGGCGCGGAAGGGUUGUAGGACAGGAAAACAAUAUGGCACUAUACUUAUGGGACAAACACAAGAACACUCGAAACUAAGAGUAGAUGUGAACCUAACGGUAUACCUAAAGCUUUGAUUACCACUUGAUGAGAAGAAGGGUGGCCCGAUCUUCCGAAAGGUUCUAGUAACUCUCGAUUUGGUGGAGACGAGACACAAAUCGAUCCGGCUUGCGAACAACACGAUCCGAAACCCUGCAAUUUUAUUUUAUUUUUUCGAUAUUUUUCUUUUACUUAGGAGCACUGAAUAAGUAACCAUAGAAAAUUUGAGCUUAAACAAGUGAAAUACGUGGCCUGCGGAAUUUUUUGAAGAUUGCAAAAAAUGUGAAAAAACAUCACGAGGUGAAAACUCAAACUUCGGAGGCAAAUUUAUAGAUUCUAAAAUUUUCAAACCUGCCAAUGGAAGGAACAGACAGAUCAAAAAAAAAUUUUUAGAUCGAUUUUGCUAUAUGGAACGUUGAAAUCGGAGUUCAUAUGUGAAAGUUAUGGUUGUUUUAAUAACGGACUCCGAAUUAGAGGACAAAACGGUGCGAAAGUGGGAAAAAAUUUCGGCAGUGGCUAGAAAUUGAUGGAAACGGUGGGGAAAAACACACGAACUGGACUCUAACAAGACCUAACCAGCAACAAGACAUCGACUAGGACACAAACUCAACACUGCGGACUCUAAGACUAAAAUAUGCAAAGGCUAUGGCUUGAAAGGUUUGUAGGACAGGAAAACGAUAUGACACUGGACUUAUGGGACGAACACAAGAACACUCAAAACUAAGGAUAGAUGUGAAUCUAACGAUAUACCUAAAGCUUUGAUUACCACUUGAUGAGAACAAGGGUGGCCUGAUCUUCCGAAAGGUUCUAGUAACUCUCGAUUUGGUGGAGACGAGACACAAAUCGAUUUGGCUUUCGAACAACCCGAUCCGAAACCCUGCAUUUUUUUUAUUUUUUUUAUAUUUUUCUUUUACCUAGGAGCACUAAAAAGUAACCACAAAAAAUUUGUGCUUAAACAAGUGAAAGACGUGGCCUGCAGAAUUUUCUGAAGAUUGCGAAAAAUGUGAAAAAACUUCAUGAGGAGAAAACUCAAACUUUGGAGGCAAAUUUUAAGAUAAAAUUAUCGAACCCGCUAAAGUCACAUACAGACAGAUCUGAAAUUUUUUUAUGAUCGAAUUUGAUAUAGGUAACGUUGAAAUCAGAGUUUGUAUGUGAAAGUUAUGGUUUGUUUACAAAUGCACUCCGAAAUAGAGGAAAAACGGUCCAGAAGUGGGAAAAAUUUGCGGCGCUGGCUAGAAAUUGAUGAAAAUAGUGGGGAAAAACACACGAACAGGACUCUAACAAGACCCAACCAGCAACAAGACCUCGACCAGGACACAAACUCAACACUGCGGACUCUGAAACUGAAAUAUGCAAAAGCUACGGCGCGGAAGGGAUGUAGGACAAGAAAACGAUAUGGCACUAGACUUAUGGGACGAACACAAGAACACUCGAAACUAAGGGUAGAUGUGAACCUAACGGUAUACCUGAAGCUUUGAUUACCACUUGAUGAGAACAAGGGUGGCCCGAUCUUCCGAAAGGUUCUGGUAACUCUCGAUUUAGUGGAGACGAGACACAAAUCGAUCCGGCUUCAGAACAACACGAUCCAAAACCCUACAAUUUUUUUUAUUUUUUUUGAUAUUUUAUUUUACUUAGGAGCACUAAAGAAGUAACCACGGAAAAUUUGAGCUUAAACAAGUGAAAGACAUGGCCUGCGGAAUUUUCUGAAGAUUGCGAAAAAUGUGAAAAAAACUUCACGAGGUUAAAACUCAAACUUCGGAGGCGAAUUUGGAGAUUCUAAAAUUUUCAAGCCCGCUAGUACUAGGGACAGGCAGAUCCAAAAAUUUUUCUGAUCGAUUUUGAUAUAUAGAACGUUGAAAUCAGAGUUCGUUGCGAAAGUUGUGGCUGUUUUAUGAACAGACUCCAAAUUAGAGGACAAAACGGUCUGAAAGUGGGAAAAAAUUGUGGCGGUGGCUAGAAAUUGAUGGAAACGGUGGGAAAAAACACACGAACUAGACUCUAACAAGACCUAACCAGCAACAAGACCUCAACUAGGACACAAACUCAACACCGCGGACUCUGAAACUGAAAUAUGAAAAGGCUAUGGCACGGAAGGGUUGUAGAACAGGAAAACAAUAUGGCACUAUACUUAUGGGACAAACACAAGAACACUCAAAACUAAGAGUAGAUGUGAACCUAACGGUAUACCUAAAGCUUUGAUUACCACUUGAUGAGAACAAGGGUGACCCGAUCUUCCGAAAGGUUCUAGUAACUCUCGAUUUGGUGGAGACGAGACACAAAUCGAUUUGGCUUUCGAACAACACGAUCCGAAACCCUGCAUUUUUUUAUUUUUUUUAUAUUUUUCUUUUACCUAGGAGCACUAAAAAGUAACCACAAAAAAUUUGUGCUUAAACAAGUGAAAGACGUGGCCUGCAGAAUUUUCUAAAGAUUGCGAAAAAUGUGAAAAAACUUCAUGAGGAGAAAACUCAAACUUUGGAGGCAAAUUUCAAGAUAAAAUUAUCAAACCCGCUAAAGUCACAGACAGACAGAUCUGAAAUUUUUUUAUGCUCGAAUUUGAUAUAGGUAACGUUGAAAUCAGAGUUUGUAUGUGAAAGUUAUGGUUUGUUUACAAAUGCACUUCGAAAUACAGGAAAAAACGGUCCACAAGUGGGAAAAAUUUGCGGCGCUGGCUAGAAAUUGAUGGAAACGGUGGGGAAAACACACGAACUGGACUCUAACAAGACCUAACCAGCAACAAGACCUCGACCAGGACACAAACUCAACACUGCGGACUCUGAAACUGAAAUAUGCAAAGGUUAUGGCGCGGAAGGGAUGUAGGACAAGAAAACGAUAUGGCACUGGACUUAUGGGACGAACACAAGAACACUCAAAACUAAGGGUAGACGUGAACCUAACGGUAUACCUGAAGCUUUGAUUACCACUUGAUGAGAACAAGGGUGGCCCGAUCUUUCGAAAGGUUCUGGUAACUCUCGAUUUAGUGGAGACGAGAUACAAAUCGAUCCGGCUUCGGAACAACACGAUCCGAAACCCUGCAAUUUUUUUUAUUUUUUUGAUAUUUUAUUUUACUUAGGAGCACUAAAGAAGUAACCACAAAAAAUUUGAGCUUAAACAAGUGAAAGACAUGGCCUGCGGAAUUUUCUGAAGAUUGCGAAAAAUAUGAAAAAAACUUCACGAGGUUAAAACUCAAACUUCGGAGGCGAAUUUGGAGAUUCUAAAAUUUUCAAGCCCGCUAGUACUAGGGACAGGCAGAUCCAAAAAUUUUUCUGAUCGAUUUUGAUAUAUAGAACGUUGAAUUCAGAGUUCGUAUGCGAAAGUUGUAGCUGUUUUAUGAACAGACUCCAAAUUAGAGGACAAAAUGGUCUGAAAGUGGGAAAAAUUUGUGGCGGUGGCUAGAAAUUGAUAGAAACGGUGGGAAAAACACACGAACUGGACUCUAACAAGACCUAACCAGCAACAAGACCUCAACUAGGACACAAACUCAACACCGCGGACUCUAAAACUGAAAUAUGCAAAGGCUAUGGCGCGGAAGGGUUGUAGGACAGGAAAACAAUAUGGCACUAUACUUAUGGGACAAACACAAGAACACUCGAAACUAAGAGUAGAUGUGAAC
Molecule: long non-coding RNA, 5234 nt
Filed under: Sorghum bicolor (sorghum)
Lineage: Eukaryota; Viridiplantae; Streptophyta; Magnoliopsida; Poales; Poaceae
Description: long non-coding RNA (SBIC_LNC004789)
Source: RNAcentral